This 56-nucleotide transfer RNA is filed under the name Gesiella jameensis. RNAcentral's name for it is "tRNA-Gly". The record is from RNAcentral. Lineage: Eukaryota; Metazoa; Annelida; Polychaeta; Phyllodocida; Polynoidae.
AUUAAUAUAAAAAGUAUAUUCACCUUCCAAGUAAAAAGUUUAAUUAAAUUUAAAUA